This 220-nucleotide unclassified non-coding RNA is filed under the name uncultured Tomentella. RNAcentral's name for it is "sequence contains ITS2". Lineage: Eukaryota; Fungi; Basidiomycota; Agaricomycetes; Thelephorales; Thelephoraceae. The record is from RNAcentral.
ACACCUCAACUCCUCAUGGUUUUGCCAUGAUGAGCUUGGACUUUGGGGGUCUUGCUGGCCUAUGGUCAGCUCCUCUCAAAUGGAUCAGCUUGCCAGUGUUUGGUGGCAUCACAGGUGUGAUAAAUAUCUACGCUUGUGGUUUUCCGCCAUAUAACCUUUAGCAAUGAAGGUUCGCUGCAGCUCACAAACGUCUCUCCUCCGUGAGGACAGCUUUUCAAAU